Molecule: ribosomal RNA, 337 nt
Filed under: uncultured Allobrachymonas sp.
Lineage: Bacteria; Pseudomonadati; Pseudomonadota; Betaproteobacteria; Burkholderiales; Comamonadaceae
Description: bacterial SSU rRNA
Rfam family: Bacterial small subunit ribosomal RNA
Source: RNAcentral
UGCUGCAUGGCUGUCGUCAGCUCGUGUCGUGAGAUGUUGGGUUAAGUCCCGCAACGAGCGCAACCCUUGCCAUUAGUUGCUACGAAAGGGCACUCUAAUGGGACUGCCGGUGACAAACCGGAGGAAGGUGGGGAUGACGUCAAGUCCUCAUGGCCCUUAUAGGUGGGGCUACACACGUCAUACAAUGGCCGGUACAGAGGGUAGCCGACCCGCGAGGGGGAGCCAAUCCCACAAAGCCGGUCGUAGUCCGGAUCGCAGUCUGCAACUCGACUGCGUGAAGUCGGAAUCGCUAGUAAUCGCGGAUCAGCAUGUCGCGGUGAAUACGUUCCCGGGUCUU